GUUUUAAUAGUUUAAAAUAAAACAAUGGUUUUGUAAACCAUAAAUAGAAGAUUUUCCUUUAAAACA
RNAcentral lists this transfer RNA (66 nucleotides) under Antilochus russus. RNAcentral describes it as "tRNA-Thr". It matches the Rfam family "tRNA". From Rfam's summary of the family: Transfer RNA (tRNA) molecules are approximately 80 nucleotides in length. Lineage: Eukaryota; Metazoa; Arthropoda; Insecta; Hemiptera; Pyrrhocoridae. The record is from RNAcentral.